GAGGGAGUCAGCAAGAGGUUCUAAAUUGUCCUUUCUUCUUUUCUUAGUUUAUGCAGCACAAUGUGACGAUUCUGGGUAAGUCUGCUUUAAUAAUAUAAAAUGAUGGAAUGAAAUUGUGGGAUUGUGUAGUUCCAGAAAUUAUCCAUACUCCUCUUUCCCUCACCGUGGAAUGUUUUUCAGACCGGCCCCUCCCCAAAAAUCAGCAAAAUUUAUUACGCUGUCAGCCUCUAAUAUGCUCACUCUCUCUGAAAAAAAAAACCCUAGAAGGCUUUCCUAGAGGAAUUGUUUUGGGGGACAAAACAGUAGGCUGUCUUUUCUUAUGCAAAAAAAAAAUCCAUUGUUUUGUUUCCCAGAACCAUUGCUAUUGGGACUCAGAAUCUGGUUUGAUCUGAUUUACAUGAGAAAGAAUUUAGUUUCUUCAAUUGGCUGGGUGUAGCUGCUUGGUCAAAGUGUUGAUCUUGUCCAUGUGGUGUUGCUUGAUGUCACGUUCUUCGCAUUUGACCUGUGAUGUAACAAGAUAUAUGGUUGCACUCUACUUUUAAAUUAUGACCGAGGUCUAACGGAAAGACAAGCGAUGGACUUUGGUGGAAGGUGAGAGGGGUGGGGAUCAAUCUCAAUAGGGUGAGGUGGGAUAAACCUCAAUAGGAUUAGG
This is a long non-coding RNA of Actinia tenebrosa (Australian red waratah sea anemone), 652 nucleotides long. Lineage: Eukaryota; Metazoa; Cnidaria; Anthozoa; Actiniaria; Actiniidae. The record is from RefSeq and is a predicted model, not a curated record.